AAAUUGAAAUUUUUUAACAUAAAUGCGUAAUUUAAUUCAAAAUAUUAUUUGUUUUAAAAUUUAAAACAUUAUUCUAAAAAGAGAUCGAGACUCCGUGGCGAGUUUCGCGCCGAUAUUGAUAGCUCGCGACGUUGCGUUGUGACUUGUGACGUGCGGGGUUAGUAUUUGCGUUUUGUUGGAAACUUAAUGUGUGGGCUGGAAUAAGAGGCACUGACAUACUUGGUCCAGUUAUUCUCCCAGAUAUUUUAACUGGAAGAACCUACGUCGAUUUUUUAACAGAAAAUUUACCAGAUUUCCUAGAAAAUGUACCAUUAUUUGAAAGAAACAAGAUUAUCUUUCAACAAGACGGGCCAAACAAUGCCAGGAUUGUUACGAAUUACUUAAACGAGCAUUUCUCCGGACACUGGAUGGGUCGAUACGGCCCGAUGCGUUGGCCCGCAAGAUCUCCGGAUCUUAAUCUUCUGGACUUCUUCUUAUGGGGAUAUUGUAAGGAAGUAAUUUAUAAAACGCUUCCCGAAGAUAUCGAAAACCUAGAGACAAGAUUACGAUUUGCUGUUCGGGAUAUCGACGAAGAAGUAAUGGAGAAUGUCGAAAGAAAUUUAUUAAAACGCAUGAGAGCAUGCGUUAGGAUGGAUGGCGGGCAUUUUGAGCAUCUAGUUAAAAAAAUUUUUUAACCAAUUCGCUCUUUUUAGAGCGACCAAUACAUUUCGACGGUGGAACAUCUCUCAUGAGCAGAAUAAAAAUUAAUUUUCUCAAAUGUAAUUUAUUAAUUACAUUAUUCUUGCGAUUGAUUGAGACUUUUGUAUUGUAACUGCAAUAGUUUCGAAAACGUAAUAACGUAUAAUACAUGCUUUUUAAAAUAAUAAUUAUUUAUUAUAAUUAGAAAUAGUUACUAAUUAUAAUCAAUAAUUAAUUUUUUUAAGUACGUCAUACGUUUCACAUUUUCUACCGAAUUAGCAGUGCAAAGGUUUUAGCCGAUCGUUUGUCUUAUCUCGCCGCUCGCGUCAAUUACGCGCCACGCAGCCAAGGAUGCGGCGCCGUAGAUGGCAACAGUCGCGACAGCGACUUCUACCACGGCGCCGGCAUUCUUGAUCCCAGUCGCUGCACGUUGUAAACAUAACCCUCGUAGUCAUCGUCGUGCAAUCUUUGCGGUCCGUCGCUUCGCGUCGAGUCCUUCGAAUGCUAUUUGCAUUCGCGUUUCUUUUAAAGUAAUUUUUGGAAACGAUGAGUAAAGUAAUUUUUGGAAAUCGAUAGUGAAUGAAUAAACAGUAAACCCGUAAUUUGUAUUGUGUCAAUUGAAUGUAAUUAGCAAAAACGAGAAAGUUGGAUGUGUCGCACAUCUUUAAAAACCAUCUCUAAUGAUUGUUCAUAAGCAUAAAAAUUGGCUACGCUGCUACAAGAUCUGAGCGUGGCUUAGGAUAAACAGAAACAAAUUGAAGAAGAUAAUACAAAAAUUACGGUAUAACACACAAUCAAGGAACAUAAUUACUUUACAGAGGAACGAAAAAUGUAGUUAGAAUAGAUGAAAAAAUAUUAGAAGGAUUUUAGACAACGAAAGUAAACAUCUUUGUGCCCACUGAAUCCGACGUUAUUUACGUUAUACAUGGCAAACUUAGAAGAAUAUAUAAAAGAAGUACAAGCAGAGGAAUCGUGAUAAGUAGGGAGAAAAUUUGAUCACUUAUACGAAUGAAGUAUUAAUAGCGAAAGGCCCUAAGAAAUUGAAAGAAAUUAUAAAUAGAUCUCAAAUCAUAUUUUAAGAAAAAAAGGAGCUAAAUUUAAAUAUAGAAAGAUCAAAAGUUUUAGUGUUCACUAAAGGAAAUGGAAAGAAAAAUUAAAAAAAUUGGAAGUAGUGAAAUAAAAAAAUCAAAGAAGUUAAAUGAUUCAAAUAUUUAGGGUAUUACUUUAAAAAAAAAACGGAGAGACACAUAAGAAAGACAGUUAAAAAAGAAAGGAUCCAAUGGAAUAGGCAUGGGGAAUAGGACAAUCAAAUUAAAAAAUUGUUUCGAAAAAAGACUAAGUUUCACAGUUUAAUAAAAAAUAUUUUACUGUAUGCAGCUAAAAUUUGGGCUGAAAAGAAAUAAAAGUUGAGACAAUUCAAAAGAAGUAUAUCAGAUUAACUUUAGAUUUUAACACUCCAAUAUCUAGUACUAAAGAAGAAAAAAACAAAUAAAGUAAGGAUAGAAGCUGGAAGAAGAGUGGUGAAAUACGAAGAAAAGAAAAAAAAGUAAAGAAGAAUAAGAUAAUUCUGGAAUGUUGAAGAGAAAUUAAAGGAAAGAAGGAAGUAAAAGGAUCGAAG
This is a long non-coding RNA of Monomorium pharaonis (pharaoh ant), 2296 nucleotides long. RefSeq lists it as uncharacterized. The transcript is spliced from 2 exons. The record is from RefSeq and is a predicted model, not a curated record. NCBI's taxonomy places the organism in Eukaryota, Metazoa, Arthropoda, Insecta, Hymenoptera, Formicidae.